GGAGAUCAGGUGCAAGCAAUGCCCCUAAGUGACCAGCAGGGUGGAGCCGGGAUCCAACCCUUCCCAGACCUCAUUUAAGGGUUGGCAGUAGAGGCGAGGGUUUUUUGCUGGUGGUCUCUGUGUAUCUGAGAUGUUUUGAAGGGGAAAUAACAUCCUGAUUCUGCAGCCUGCUCCUGGAUGAGGUGACAUUUCUUCAAGCCAGAUCACCUAGAAAACACAACCUAUCUUCUUCCAAUCCUUGGACUUCACUCUCCUAGUUGCAGCUCUUGUGUCACACCAGCAUUCAAGGGCUCUAAUCCCUGGGUCUGAUGCAGAAGAGGGACCAGCUGCAUCUCCCUGCUCUUUUACUUUCCCUUUCCCGCCUGCUCCCUCCCUCACCAUGUCAGGGCAAUAUGCACGGAGCCUGAUAUCCUAUUGCACCAGUGGAUCUGGGAAUAGAUAGCUGGAGGAGCUUACACCCACAAUACAUCUCAGGGACCAGCUUUCACUGAAGAAGCAGAUUGCAUUUAAAGGUGAGAUGUUCUCUCCUGGUCUGCAACAUGCAUAAUGCAUAGCACAGCCUCCAUGAGCUGUUAUCAGAGGUUAGGCCAUUUACAGCACUGAUGCUGCUAUGAAAUGCUCUUCUGCAGGGAUAUUUCCCACAUCCAAGGCUUUUAUCUGCAUAGCAUUUGAAGACUUGUAGUUUGUGGUUGAAAUCUUCUCUGUGAGAGUUGGUAGUCUCUGGUAGUUCAACCUCCUCUUCUUCAGCUGGCAUUUGUCAUUAAAUAAACAGUGUGCUUCCUCUUUCAGCUAGAUUAGUACAAAUCGAGAACAAUUCCGGCUCAGUGUCAGCUUAAAACAGAAACUGAAGGUCUGGGAUACUCUUUAUUUGUGAGGAGAAGCUCAUAGAAGAGCAAGGUGCCAGAUUAGUGACCCAGGGGACCACAAGUUUUAUUCAAAGAUGGCCUAAUUCCCAGCAAAGUGCUAGUGCCCAGUUUCCUCCUCAGCAGCCCUGCUUCUCCAAGAGGCUCCCUGCCAGGAGGAAACACUCAUCUCCUGCACGUAGGUAGGACAGCAGGCACAAGCAGUGCUGCAAAGCUUUCCAGAGCAGGUGCAACAGGAGCUGGGCACUCAGGAAGCUCACAGCCUUGACAAGGGGAGAGCUCAGAGAUCCCUAGCCCAUGGGUACCUGUGACCUCUGCCACCAUCUGCAGCCAAGAAACUGGUUCCUGCCCUGUGGCCACCCCUCCAGCAGGAGGUGGACAGAGGUCACUGUGUGCCUUUCACAGCUCUCCCCAAAAAGGGACAUGAAAAGGGGAAAUAAUAACAACAAAGGAUGUUGCUGGUUCUACACGCUUAUUAUUAGCAGAGGAAGGACUGGGAUUAAUCACUCCUGCUGAAGCAGCUGUAAAGGAUGGAAGUAGCUGAUCAAAGUGGACUUUGUUAUUCCCAGUGUAUCAUUCUGCUGAGCAAUGAGAACUAGCACGGGGCACUGGAGCUUCAAAAGGGCUUUAAUGACUCCAAGGCUUAACCAAGGACGCUGCUGGAGCUAAUCGAGAAGGAAAUCCAGGGCAAGGUGGAAAUGAUGGAAAUGAGUGCUUUGGUCCGAGGAAUUUUUCCACAUCUUUCAUUUCCUAAUUCCAUACCUUUGAGGUAAUAAAAUUUACAGCGAUGGAAAAAAAAAGUGGGACAAUGGGAAAUGUUCCUCUAUGGACUGGGCUACGUGUGGCUGGGCUGCACCUGAUUGCUGCGCUUGUGGCAGGGGGGACAGAGGGCACAAGGAGCCACUCCAUCCAGCCCUGUUGAGAUCUGACAAAACCAUGGUCCCUCCACCUCCUCCUGUCCCAGGAUGCCCCCUCCUAUUGCUGGGCAGUUGACGAGUACCAUGGAGGCUGGGACAGGCCCCCUUUCCUCCUUGCUGACUGAAUGGAUGUACAGCAACUGCCUUCUGCAUCCUUGAGUGUACAGCCCUAGAAUGGCCCUUUUGUCAAUGGCAGGGACAAGAAGCCGCCCUGUGCUGCUGCUGGAGUGAGCCAUGAAUGAGUACAGAGAACCUCUGAGCAACGGCUGGGAAUUAGCCAUGGGGAGCAUGACUUGCCUGCACUGCAGCCGGUGGAGCUCUGCCUUACAAAAGAACAGCCACAUGUCUGCAGGAGAGCUCUCACCCUAAUUUGGAAAAGAAAUACACACUUUAAGGGGCAGCUUUGUUAGCAACACAUCCACCAUGUCACUCUCUUCUCACUUCCUUCGUUUCUUCCUUCCUUGUUUCUGUUUAUAGAGCAAAUAGAUCCAAAAGAGCAUUUCCUACUCAGCAGCACUAGCAUCUCUGAGACAGUCAAGGACGUGUUGUCCACAAACAGGUCUUUUUCCUGCCUGUGAAAUGUUGGUCCUCUCUUGAAAGAAAGACUCUGAGAGCAUUCAUAUCCAUACAGACUGUGAGCCCAUCUUGCUUGGUGUCUCUCAUAAGCCCUGCCUGCCCAUGGCCCGUCACACAAGGGUGAAGGAGCAUCUUCAGUGCUUUCUCCCUCUGCAUCCCGAGAAGAUCUAUGGGUCUGUUUCUUUUCACUUCUGUCCAGAAGAAUCCAGCGUACAUUUUGUGGUUAAAAGUCAAAACUGGGGAAGGAAAGCUCUCAAACGCAGCAGCUGCAGCGUCAUCUAUUUUGCUUUCUCAGCCUAAACAUGCAGUAGCACGUUCUGCUGAGGGGCAAACCAAGCAAGCUGCUGGAACAGACAGGAUGAGAAAUGGAGGCCAAGCAGCAGUGCCUCACAAGGGAACCCAAUGCCCCGUACCAGCCGCAGUACAGUUGGCAGCCCUCCUGCAGCAGCAGUGCACCGUGGCUUAGUGAGUGUGUACAGAUUCCUGCUUCCUCCUUUCCCAGCCCAGUGUUUUUACUCCUCUGCAAUGGACAAGGUGGACCUGGCCUGCAUGCAGCUGUCUGUAUCCCCAGGGAUGUGACAUUAACUGAGGCUGGGAACUGCCCUGGCUGCAUCCCUUUCCUCCUGCUGUGGAGAUAUUCCCUGGGGGAGCAUAUGAGUACUUGUCAUAAGAGCAUCGUGUCGGGCUUCUCCUCUACUCCUGUGUCCUGCAAAGGGCUGAGAAAUGCAGGAGUCUGCAGCCUCAGUGAGUAAAGAAACCCAGCUCCCUUUUCCUGACCACAGGAAGGCUGUGGGGAAGGAGGAUCCCAGCUGAUCCCACCCCACAGCUUUUCCUUUGGAAUCUAAAAUGCAGUCUUUCACAGGCAGGAGGGCAACCAAGCUGAGCUCCAUGUUUUCCAGCAGCAGGGUCUGUUAGAAAGCAGCCUGUGUUGGUGGGGCAGUGUCUUCCUCUGCAAAGCCCUUUGACAUACCCUGUAUUCCUCGUCCCCAGCAGGAUGGGGAAAGCUGUGCUUCCAGAGCUGAGUUGGAGGCAGCAGAGCCCUGCAGCCACAGUGAGCACAGCUGAGUGGGUGGAGUGUGGCACGCUGAGGGAAUUGCCCUUGUUAUUCCAACACAAGUGAAGGCAGAAAUUCAGUUUCUGGUGAUGUCCUGAACUCUGCCUCCGGUGUCACCAGCACUCUAGUGCUGCCAAAACAAACACGGGCGCCUGACCAAAGAAAGUAAACCAAAGCCCUCCCAGCAGCAGCCACAGGCACACACUCAGCUUCACACUAGCACCUUCCUUUAGACCUUGGUAUCCUGAUAUCUGCUUUAUUUAGGCAAGAAACACAGAUAAACAGUUGUACGGCAGAGCAGCCAGCUAGCGCUGCCACUCAGCACAAAUGGAGGUGAGGCAGUGCAGACAGCAUUGCUGGGUACUCAGCAGGGCUGGCCUUGAUUCCCAAGCGAACACCUGGACAGACUGCAUUGAGGGAGGCAGCAAUGUCUCUAUCCUGUGGCUAAAUUGUGAAGCAGCAGCUUUCACGUGUGCACUGCCUGGCCAGCAUCCACCUGGGCUCCUGUGCUCUUGGCAGAUGUGUUAAGCAGAUAGAGCUGAUGUCUUCCCAAAAUGACUCCAUGGGCAGCAGAGCUGCAUGAAAAGAGAUGCUUAUCUGGACUUUGGAAACAUCUUCCUAUGAGGUCAUCUUCUUUUCUCUUUCUUCUCUUUUUAACUUUUCCUUCAUGGGGGUAAGGCCACAGCAUGAUCUGCUUGAAACUGCCAGCAGAUCCCAGACAGAAGAUGGAGGAAAAGGGAAGAACAGGCAGUGAAGUGUAUUUGAUGGAGCAGGUCUUUUUGAAGAGCCCGGGUGUCCCUCCUCCGCAGUCCUUUCCCACGAGUGAGGCUGAGAACAGUCGUGAGCAUGGUGGUAGAGAAGGAAAAAGGGCUGUGGAGGCAGUACACCUCCAGGGAGUGGUUUCUGCCUGUCUCCUCACAGGGGUGCUCAGCUUUGGGUGUUCAGUGCAGGAACAGCUUCUCUGAGUUUAGCUGCAGACCAAGCCAGUAGGGAUGGGAUUCUUCAGGUAUCAUUUUGCAGAGUUGGUUUUGCAGACACCUUUCACACCUACUGCCUCUUCUGGUAUGCUAGAACAGAAAUGAGAGUUGGACAUGGCCCCUUGGUACCAGCAGCCAUACCAACAGCCUGACAGUUAGCUGUGGGACUGCAUGCUCUCUUCUCUGUGCCAGCAGAAGGUAUCCCCAGGGCUACUAACACUCUUCCUACCCCAACCUUUGCUCUGGUCUGCCCCGAACUCAGUGACCCUUCAGCCCUUCCAGCUUUCCUUUAAUAUUCAUCUCUUGCAGGGCAGUUGCUGAGUGACUCCCACAACAUGCCACGCUGUGAAAGCUCAGGUCAGGGAAGCUUUGACCCUGUCCCCAGCCAUCAGGAGCACAGCAGGCAGAGGAGGACCAAGCCUCUGUGACUGUGCAGGUGGCAGAUUUUGAGCCUUCAGAGCAGGGUGCUUGAGGAGCUAAAUUCAAAUAUACCUCCAAGACUAUGUCAGUCCUGUUCCUUGAGUGGUCUCCUCGAACAAGGCUGGUGCCGUCUCAGCCCCGGCACAAGAGGAUCCCUGUCUAGGGAGCAGGGACACUCAGCACCCCUGGUGAAAAAGACAUCCCAGCGAUCCCUGGACACAACGUGCUUGGUUCAGUGAUGCUGCUCGGCUGACAGCUCACCUGGCUGCUCUGCCUAGAAGCAGAGAGGGAGCCUGUCACUGUCACAGCCCCAGCAGUGUAUCUAAGGCAGGGUUUAUCUGCAGGGAGAGGGUCACCUGCUGGGUUGUGUUUCAGCAUCACACUACAUUUUGGUCUCUCUUUCCCUUUCUCUGUAGCACACUCCUGGUAGAAAGGAUUUGACACCAGGCGAUAAUCUGAAACUGGAGACACAAGGUGCCGGUGCAGCUCUAGUUACAGAUAUUAUGCCAAAGCCUUCACUCUUACUGAUCAUGAGCAUGUCACCCCGCGGUAUUUCUUUCUUUAUUUGUUUUUUUGUUUGCUUACAUAAUUAAUGCAGUGAAAUGAAAACACUGUCCAUAUAACUGUGAGGAUGUCAGAUGUUCAAACAUGACUAUCCCAUUCUAAGGUGACAGAUAUGUGAGGUAGUCUUCAUUUUUAAGUAUUCGAGUCUUGAAAAUGAUGUAGUUACACUCAUCUAUUUGGGGUUACUGUGAUUACUGGCCAUCAUCUCUUUCUGAACCCGAGGCUUCCCUGAGGUCAAAGUAGAAAUAUUCAGCAACGGCCUGAACCACACAGAUGUUGCAGAUCUGCUUGACAGUGUUUACUAUUUGCAGGAUUGCUUUAAAUAAAUAAUGCUUUCAAACUGAGAGUGGGUCGCCUCCAUAAAGAUGGCCUCAUAUAGCAAGAGAAGGAAAGAAGCAAAGGAGAAGAAAGGAAGAGAAAUGCAGUCAGGCAAGAAAUAAGGAAAGAGAGAGAUGGGAGCCAAACUGAGCUGCAUGCUGUCCCGUAGUUUAUUAACAUUUGAUUAGCAUAAUGAAUAUUCAGCCUCUUUAUUAUCUUAUUGUUCCUCUUCACAUAGUAUGUUAAGUAUGGAAAGUUUCUUCUGUGUUUUUUUUUCAUUGCAAAUUUUGCCCCUGGAGAAAUGAGUUCUCUUUAUCAAAAGAGUCAAAGACUAAGGAUUAGGCACGAAAGAAAAGGAAAAUAUGUUGUAAGGAACAUCUCAUGUCUCAUAAAAUCCAAAGCCAAACGAUUUCUAUCAUGUAUCUAUAACUUUCAUGGGACUGUUGACCAGAGUACACUUUUAAAAUACGUGUGUGCUAUGAUUGUUGUUAUCUUUAUAUGGCGGUAGCAUUACAUUUCAAUGCGUCGAUAUCUAACCCACUGAUUAAAUUUGUUUUGAAGAUUG
Long non-coding RNA from Numida meleagris (helmeted guineafowl), 6254 nucleotides. RefSeq lists it as uncharacterized. Lineage: Eukaryota; Metazoa; Chordata; Aves; Galliformes; Numididae. The record is from RefSeq and is a predicted model, not a curated record. The transcript has 2 exons.